GAAUGCCUACGGGGGGCAGCAGUAGGGAAUCUUCCACAAUGGGCGAAAGCCUGGUGGAGCAACGCCGCGUGGGUGAAGAAGGUCUUCGGAUCGUAAAACCCUGUUGUUAGAGAAGAAAGUGCGUGAGAGUAACUGUUCACGUUUCGACGGUAUCUAACCAGAAAGCCACGGCUAACUACGUGCCAGCAGCCGCGGUAAUACGUAGGUGGCAAGCGUUAUCCGGAUUUAUUGGGCGUAAAGGGAAGGCAGGCGGGCUUUUAAGUCUGAUGUGAAAGCCUUGGGCUUAACCGGAGUAGUGGAAUGGG
RNAcentral lists this ribosomal RNA (305 nucleotides) under uncultured bacterium. RNAcentral's name for it is "bacterial SSU rRNA". It matches the Rfam family "Bacterial small subunit ribosomal RNA", at positions 333 to 630 of the family's 1533-position model. The record is from RNAcentral.